Molecule: ribosomal RNA, 377 nt
Filed under: uncultured bacterium
Lineage: Bacteria
Description: bacterial SSU rRNA
Rfam family: Bacterial small subunit ribosomal RNA
Source: RNAcentral
UAAUACGUAGGGUGCUAGCGUUGUUCGGAAUCAUUGGGCGUAAAGCGCGUGUAGGUGGUUAACUAAGUCGGGUGUGAAAUCCCUAGGCUCAACCAAGGAAGUGCAUUCGAAACUAGUUAACUAGAAGAUGGUAGAGGAAGGUGGAAUUCCAGGUGUAGAGGUGAAAUUCGUAGAUAUCUGGAGGAAUACCGGUGGCGAAGGCGGCCUUCUGGACCAUCCUUGACACUAAGACGCGAAAGCGUGGGUAGCAAACAGGAUUAGAUACCCUGGUAGUCCACGCCGUAAACGAUGGGUACUAGGUGUUGCGGGAAUUGACCCCUGCAGUGCCGACGCUAACGCAUUAAGUACCCCGCCUGGGAAGUACGGCCGCAAGGUUA